CGUGGAAGAAGGAAAAGUAACCUCCCAGUUCCUGCCUGGUGAUAAGAAAAUAGGCCAUUCAUAGCUGACAAGCUCCCCUAUCCAGAACAACAAACACGGCCGUUCUGUGGAAUUAAGUAUUUCAAGGUACAGCUCUUUGAAUCAUUCUGAAGAAUUUAAUCCAACAAACGUGCCCAGGUUUCUCUUCGUAAAUCAAUGCAUUCAGUGUGUCAUGCAGGAGCACUCAUUCAGGAGGAGUUCAGAGGUAUGGGAGCAGCUGGCAGUGACCUGGUAGACCAGGUGGGUGUACUGGCCACCACUGGUGGAAGCUGAGAUGUGCAUAACAGGUCGCUACACCAAGCAUCCAGUUGCUUUCCAUCUGAGGCAGCACAGGAAAAUGCUGUGCUCUGUUUCUGUCGCCCUCUUCCCUAUUGCGAAGGUUGUUGCUUCACCCAUCCUUCAGCUGAGCAGCCAGGAAGAGCAGUCAGGUGUUGACUUUGGAGCCAUUGUCAGAACCUAGCCAGGGUCAGUUCCACCUAAAACGGAACAGCUGGUUUCACCUGGGUGAUCUGGAAGGAGCCCCUGUGUACCAAGUGACAGAAGCAUAUGCCCCAGGACCAUUCAGGACUGCCCAAAAGCAACCACUGCUGUGCCAACAACAGGCAGCUGCUGGGAAAAUGCCUGCUUCUGUCGAGGAAAAAAUCCGCCUGGGGCUCUUGGAGCCAUCAGCUGCCUAGAGCAGAGAAAACCCAGCUCCUCCCUGGGUUAGAGCAGCAGUACCUCCGAGCAGGAGAGGAUGAAGCAUUGCCAUGCAGUGACAAAGCAGAUUCUGCCUGACUGAGUAGCUGAUGGUGCCUGCAAGGACCUGGGCCAGAAGUGCACCCAAGGGUGCUUUGCAUGAGUCCUGGCCACCACUGCCAUCCCCUGAGAGGAGAUGCAACAGCACCUGCUGAGUGUGCAGCUGGCAGCUAAGGAGGUGGAGCAGCUGCUGUGCCUUGCUUUGUUCUGCCCAGACAGGAGCAGGCAGAGGGUAGGCUAUGUAUCAGAUGGACUUCCACAUCACCAUAGUUCUGGGAGGACUGAAAGACUGUGCUAGCACACCCCACCCUCUAUGCACAGGUGCAGAAUGAUGUGCUCUGGAUACAACUGGAGCCUGCAGGAGGUGCCU
Molecule: long non-coding RNA, 1147 nt
Filed under: Gallus gallus (chicken)
Lineage: Eukaryota; Metazoa; Chordata; Aves; Galliformes; Phasianidae
Description: long non-coding RNA NONGGAT012105
Source: RNAcentral